GGCUUUAUUUCACCAGUGCUUGUUUACCUACGUCUCCUGCCUCCAUUAACGACUCUCACUUUGUGGUUCUGCAGCCAGGAGCAGCAGUUUCAGGUCCAGGACAGGAUUAACAGUUUUAAUCUCCUGGUGUUCCUAGAGAAUUCCAAAGGAAGGCGCUGGGUGUAUCUGGGGGACGUCUUCCCCACAGGGCCAUCCAGGGAACCCAGCCUUCGUGGGAUCCAGGCUUUGGCAGAGAGGACCACCACGAUUUCAGGGUUGGAGGAGAAAGAUUUCUCUCCACAGGAGGACAUGACUUCCACGUAUCAUGGACAUCGGGCUUCCCAGGCGGCUCUGUGGUAAAGAAUCUGCCUGCCAGUGCAGGAAGUGCAGGAGACACAGGUUUGAUCCUGGGAUUGGGAAGAUCCCCUGGAGGAGGAAAUGAAAACCCAAUCCUGUAUUCGUGCCUGGAAAAUCCCAUGGAGAGGGGAGCCUGGCGGGCUACACGGGGUCGCAGAGUCGGACACGACUGAGCACCUGAACAACAGGAGCGCAGCCCCUCCCAGGGAGCACUGUUGGAGAGAAGACGGCAAGGCAUCGCCUUCCGGGGAGGGCAGCCCGAAGGGGAGAAGAGAAUGGGGAGAGGAGGUGUCCCUGGGGAGACGUCCUUCCCUCUCAGGAAAAGCAGCUUCACCCUCCCCUCCCCACAGAAGUGAAUGCUGGAGUUACGCUGGAGAUUUACCACACUGCAGCUUACUUCAGUUAAGUGAGAGACCUUGAAUAUUUGACUGCCUCGAACUUCAAUCUGUAUUAUUUUGAAAUAUUUCACUAAACAAAGAGCCUAUCUUCAAAUCACUCAGACCCUUUCUUGGAAAUCAUGUGAAAAACAUUUAAAUGAAUUUGGAUCAAUUAGUCAUUAUCUUCCCCAUCUCUGAGUCAGAUGCCUGAUCCUAACUUAAUUUUAUAGCCAAGAGCACAUGAACCAAGCUGAACGCCAAGCGGGCUUCGUGCUUUCUUUCGUUACCUGCUAAGAAGUGACAGGCUGAUCACACAAGCAGGCGAUAGCUUGGCCAUCCAUCCGAAAAGAGGACUCUGAUUCACGACUUGCAGCAACCAGCCCAGGAAACUGACCCUUUCUCUGAAGUAGCCAUCCCAGAAAGCCGGUUGCUGCCCGCUAUUGUUUUAGGAAGGCAGACCUCUGUCUCUAGAGACAGUUCAGAAAGUGAAACAUCCACGCCUGUAACAACUGGCCCCAAAUGAUUGGGAUGGGAUUAGUAACUGACAGCCUCCCUCACGCUUGCCCUGCAAAUCACGACCAACCAGAGAAAGCCAGCGAUGCACCUCAGCCAAUGACAUGGGUGCCCGGCCUGUAGUUGGCCCACCCUCGGCUUCCCCGGGGCCCCAGCCUCUGGGCGGGGUGCUCCGGAGCUGUCCCUCUGCCCACCACAAAGCUCCCCAGUCCUCUGCCUGCCCCGAGUCUCCACCAAACACUGGUGGUGGUGGCUGACUCUCUGGCUCAAGCCAGACUUUGCUUUUUCACUUGGGUGCCUUUGUUUAUUUCCACAGGAGGAAGUUCUCUGAGGAAACUGGGGGACACAUUUGCUAAAAAUAGCAACAUUUUGGGGGCUCAUCUAAGAGGAGAAUUGAUGGGUCAGGAAAUAGCUGCAAUGAAAUGACUCCCCUUCGUGUGACGUUUAACUUUGUGCCAACUUGACUAGGCUGCGGUGUCCCCACAUAUUUGAUCAGACAUUAUUUUGGGUGUUUCUGUGAGAGUGUUUUCGGUGAGCUUAACAUUUAAGCCAGCAGACUGAGUAAAGCAGAUUGCACUCCCUUAAUGUGGGUGGGCCUUAUCCAAUCAGUUGAAGACACUAAUAGGAGGAAAAAAUGGAUGAGCCUCUCCCCAAAAGAUGGAAUUUCUCUUGCUUGAUUGUUUGCAAACUGGAGCAUCAUUUUUGAAAUAGGGAAGAAUAAAUCUAAAUUCAUAUUUGAUCUGUUUCUUUUA
This 1978-nucleotide long non-coding RNA is filed under the name Bos indicus x Bos taurus (hybrid cattle). RNAcentral's name for it is "lncRNA (ENSBIXG00000025007.1)". Lineage: Eukaryota; Metazoa; Chordata; Mammalia; Artiodactyla; Bovidae. The record is from RNAcentral.